Molecule: transfer RNA, 76 nt
Filed under: Desulfurella acetivorans
Lineage: Bacteria; Pseudomonadati; Campylobacterota; Desulfurellia; Desulfurellales; Desulfurellaceae
Description: tRNA-Gly
Rfam family: tRNA
About the family: Transfer RNA (tRNA) molecules are approximately 80 nucleotides in length. Their secondary structure includes four short double-helical elements and three loops (D, anti-codon, and T loops).
Source: RNAcentral
GCGGGAGUAGCUCAGUUGGUAGAGCGCAAGCCUUCCAAGCUUGGGGUCGCGGGUUCGAGUCCCGUUUCCCGCUCCA